RNAcentral lists this ribosomal RNA (253 nucleotides) under uncultured bacterium. Its description in RNAcentral is "partial 16S ribosomal RNA". It matches the Rfam family "Bacterial small subunit ribosomal RNA", at positions 524 to 776 of the family's 1533-position model. The record is from RNAcentral.
UACGUAGGGGGCAAGCGUUGUCCGGAAUUACUGGGCGUAAAGGGCGCGUAGGCGGCCAACUAAGUCAUACGUGAAAUCCCUCAGCUUAACUGGGGAACUGCGUCUGAUACUGGAUGGCUGGAGAUUGGGAGAGGGAUGCGGAAUUCCAGGUGUAGCGGUGAAAUGCGUAGAUAUCUGGAGGAACACCGGUGGCGAAGGCGGCAUCCUGGACCAACACUGACGCUGAGGAGCGAAAGCCAGGGGAGCAAACGGG